UAAGACCAUUGUGGAGAAACUAAAUGAAUACUUUGCAUUAGUCUUCACGGCUGAGGAUGUGAGGGAGAUUCCCAAACUUGAGCCAUUCUUUUUAGGUGACAAAUCUGAGGCAUUGUCCCAGAUUUAGGUGUCAUUGGAGGAAGUUUUGGAACAAAUUUAUAAAUUAAAAAAGUAAGAAGUCACCAGGACCAGAUGGGAUUCACCCAAGACUGCUGAAGGAACUCAAAUGUGAAACUGAAGAACUGCUAACUGUAGCCUGUAACCGAUCAUUUAAAUCAGCUUCUGUACCACAUGGCUGGAGGAAAAUGUGAUGCCAAUUUUUAAAAAUGGCUCUAGAGAUGACGCGGGCAAUUACAGGACGGUAAGCCUGACUUCCCAGGCAAACCGGUUGAAACUAUAGUAAAGAACAACAUUGUCAGACAUGUAGAUAGACAGUAUUUGUUUGGGAAGAGUCAAUAAGGUUUUUGAAAAAGGAGAU
This is a long non-coding RNA of Chelonia mydas (Green sea turtle), 478 nucleotides long. RefSeq lists it as uncharacterized. NCBI's taxonomy places the organism in Eukaryota, Metazoa, Chordata, Testudines, Cheloniidae. The transcript has 4 exons. The record is from RefSeq and is a predicted model, not a curated record.